GCGCCCAUAGCUCAAUUGGAUAGAGCAACGGCCUUCUAAGCCGUAGGUUGCAGGUCCGAUCCCUGCUGGGCGCA
Molecule: transfer RNA, 74 nt
Filed under: Candidatus Omnitrophota bacterium
Lineage: Bacteria; Pseudomonadati; Candidatus Omnitrophota
Description: Candidatus Omnitrophica bacterium tRNA-Arg
Rfam family: tRNA
About the family: Transfer RNA (tRNA) molecules are approximately 80 nucleotides in length. Their secondary structure includes four short double-helical elements and three loops (D, anti-codon, and T loops).
Source: RNAcentral